GUUAGGAGUGAAAGGAAAGAUUGAACUGUGCCCACUUGCAUGUUUUAUUUCAUCUUUGUGUAAUGACUUUGGAACUUAUAAAUCAUAAAUUUGUCUUUCUUCAUUUUACUUUCUCAAUUUUAAAACUUCUCUGUGGAGUUCAUGGGAAUCCAAAAACUUCCACUGAAACCUGGAUGGUUGGAAUCGGAGAUGGCAUUUAUUUAAUUUUGUCAGGAACUAUUCUAAGCACUUUCUUGUAUUAUCUCAUUUAAUUCUCACAACAAACUUCUGAAGAAGGUAAAAUUAUUUUUUUGUUUUACCAAUGAGGAAACAAACCUACAAAAAAGAAGCAACCUAUUUAAGGUUGCACAACAUAUGGUAAGACAAAAUCUAACCCACGAACACUUAAUCUGGAGUCUUGCAGUCUAUUAUUUUGCCACACUGCAAACACUUCCAUGAUUUAUAACACCUCAAAUCUUGGUACCAGAUACUCUAACUUCUGGGUAGAAUGUUCUUUCUUUUUGUUUCUUCCUAUCAUUUGAAAAUCAAUUCACCACAUUAUCUCCUCUAAAAGAAAUGUUUCUUCUUUAUCACCUCUCUCCCCACCUUAGUCUUAUUUUCAUGCUCCAAUGGCUAGAUUAACUAAUUUCUGUCUCCCACUAGACCCCGAGCCUCUUGAAAGCAAGAACCUCAUCUUCUUGAUAUCUGUAUUCCAAUGCUUAACCUGUUACCUUACAUAAAAAGUACUGAGAAUAAUUUGUUGAAUGAGUUAAAGAUGAAUGAAGAAGUUUGAAAGCCAAAGGUACCCUGCAGUACUGAUGUAGAAAUAACAGAAACUUUAAGAAAUGGGAAACACAGUAGUCAAAGAUUUAAUUACGUUCUUCUAAGUCUUUCUUCCUCUGAGGCUAAGAAUAAUUGCCACUGGUGGGAAGGAUAACUGGGUCUAUUGAAGAAUGAAAAGAAAAAUCCCAAUGGGUAAUUUUUUAAAAAUUUUGCUUCACACAUAAAGAAUUCCUAAAACAUCCAAUAGCAAAAUUCCUUCCUUGUUGCCCUUUAUGACUCCUUGUGUUUAUACUUAUUCUCAAGGCUACUUUUUAAAAGCAACUGGAGACUGUGAUUUACAGCUUUGGACCAGAAAAUCUCAGAAAAAAGCCCUACACUAAGUCUUGCUCUCGUAAGUUUGAAACAUCUCGAAAACCAUGUUCUUCCCCUCCACUAAAUUGCCGCUUCCAUCACCCACAACUCCUACCAGGAAAUAGCAGAACCAAUACUUGCCAGGAGAGUUUCUUAA
This 1270-nucleotide long non-coding RNA is filed under the name Equus caballus (horse). RNAcentral's name for it is "lncRNA (ENSECAG00000045932.1)". Lineage: Eukaryota; Metazoa; Chordata; Mammalia; Perissodactyla; Equidae. The record is from RNAcentral.